RNAcentral lists this ribosomal RNA (485 nucleotides) under uncultured bacterium. RNAcentral describes it as "partial 16S ribosomal RNA". It matches the Rfam family "Bacterial small subunit ribosomal RNA", at positions 28 to 507 of the family's 1533-position model. The record is from RNAcentral.
GAUGAACGCUAGCUACAGGCUUAACACAUGCAAGUCGAGGGGCAGCAUGACCUAGCAAUAGGUUGAUGGCGACCGGCGCACGGGUGAGUAACACGUAUCCAACCUGCCGAUUAUUCCGGGAUAGCCUUUCGAAAGAAAGAUUAAUACUGGAUAGCAUAACGAGAAGGCAUCUUCUUGUUAUUAAAGAAUUUCGAUAAUCGAUGGGGAUGCGUUCCAUUAGUUUGUUGGCGGGGUAACGGCCCACCAAGACAUCGAUGGAUAGGGGUUCUGAGAGGAAGGUCCCCCACAUUGGAACUGAGACACGGUCCAAACUCCUACGGGAGGCAGCAGUGAGGAAUAUUGGGCAAUGGACGAGAGUCUGAAACAGCCAAGUAGCGUGAAGGAUGACUGCACUAUGGGUUGUAAACUUCUUUUAUAUGGGAAUAAAGUGGGCCACGUGUGGCUUUUUGUAUGUACCAUACGAAUAAGGAUCGGCUAACUACGUG